Molecule: ribosomal RNA, 2184 nt
Filed under: Carpediemonas sp. NY0171
Lineage: Eukaryota; Fornicata
Description: SSU rRNA
Rfam family: Eukaryotic small subunit ribosomal RNA
Source: RNAcentral
UAGUGAUAUGCUUCUUUCAAAGAUUAAGCCAUGCAAGUCUAGUUCAAGUGAUCACCUCGGUGAACACGAAACUGCGAUAAGCUCAUUAUAAAAGUUAGAGUGUACAGGGUGCUUAUCCACAGGUGUAUAGUGGCUUGCCACGAACGCUUGUAUCAACAGGGUAUUUCGGAUAACUCUGGAAAAUCUGGAGCUAAUACGUGCAUGUGGUCUUCGGACCCACUGUAUUUAUCCGCUCUCGGAACCAACCUUGUCUUUCAGUUUCGGCUGGGAGGCUUGUGAUGUGAACAAGGAUAACUCAACUGACCGUUUCUUUCGAGACGGUGCGCCCUUCCACUUUCUUACCUAUUAACUUUCGAUUGUUGUGUAGUGGACAACAAUGGUUUUGAUGGGUACGGAGGAUUAGGGUUCGACUCCGGAGAGUCCGCCUUAAAGACGGCUGACACUUCCAAGGAAGGCAGCAGGCGCGAAAAUUACCCAAUCGACAAUUGUCGGAGGUAGUGACGAAGAAUAUCAGGCUCGGGAGAUUUUAUCUUCCAGCUUCGAAAUGGAAGGGGUUAAAUCAUACCCCUUGAGAAACUACUGGAGGGCAAGAUCUGGUGCCAGCAGCCGCGGUAAUACCAGCUCCAGUAGCAUAUAUUAAAGUUGCUGCAGUUAAAACGCUCGUAGUUGGACUUCAGGGUGCCAGGCGCUGAGCCACUGGAAGCUUUCUAGUGUGAUGACGUUAUUAGCUUGUUGGAUUGUCGCUUCGGCGGUGAUUUGGCUCGUGAGUUGUCUUAGUUCAGGCCUCGUGUGCCCUACACUGUGCUCUCUUUUAACUUCGGUUGUUAGAGAGUGCCAGAUACCUUGAGGAAAUUGGAGUGUUCAAGGCAAGCGAUUAUUCGCGAUUGACCACUGAAGCAUGGAAUAUCGACCAUGACUCUUGUCACGGCUCGUUGGUUUCACGGCAGAGUAAUGAUUAAUAGGAGCGGUCGGGGCCAUUGGUAUGCUUGCGUGAGAGGUGAAAUUUUUAGACCGCAGGCAGACCAACUACUGCGAAAGCAUUUGGCAAGGACGCUUUCAUUAAUCAAGAACGAAAGUUGGGGGAUCGAAGGCGAUUAGACACCACCGUAGUCCCAGCCAUAAACUAUGCCGACUAGGGAUUGGACUUUUUGUCCACCUUUACAAUGACACUUCCAGCACCUUAUGAGAAAUCAAAGUUUUUGGGUUCUGGGGGGAGUACGGUCGCAAGGCUGAAACUUAAAGGAAUUGACGGAGAUCUACACCAGGUGUGGAUUCUGCGGCUUAAUUUGACUCGACGCGGGGAAGCUUACCAGGCCCAGACAUUCGAAGGAUUGACAGAUUGAUAGCUCUUUCAUGAUUGUUUGAUGAGUGGUGCAUGGCCGUUUUUAGUUCGUGGAGUGAUCUGUCUGCUUUAUUGCGAUAACGAACGAGACCAAUACCUGCUAAAUAGCGGUUAUGACAUUCAGUUGACUGGAUGUUGAAUUGGGCAUGAUCUGUUUGCGACUUCAUUGACUUCGGUUGGUGGGGAAACUUAUGGUUCAUGGCUUUUAUUCAGUGUCCAACUCGGCUGGCGAAAGUGUCGUAAUUGGGAGGUGUACCCUUCGGGGAUUCCAUCUUCUUCGCUUCUUAGAGGGACUACUUGCGCAAGCGAGGGGAAGUUAUUGGCAACAACAGGUCAGGGAUGCCCUUUAGAUGGUCUUGGGCUGCACGCGUAAUACAAUGGACGGUUCAACGAGCUCUGAUUAACGAGUUGGUAACGGAGUUGGAUUCACUUACUGGUCACUUCGGUGGUUGGUAAGUCCUACUUGCAGUGCUGGCAUCCGUUGUCUCCUAGCCCGAAGGGGUAUGUGCGGUAAACAUUGGCUUUUGUCUUUGUAUGCUGUGCGUUUGGGGUAAUCUUGUGAAAACCGUCCGCGCUGGGGAUUGAGGUUUGUAAUUUUCCCUCAUGAACCAGGAAUACCUCGUAAGUGCACGUCAUCAACGUGCGCUGAAUACGUCCCUGGAUCUUGUACACACCGCCCGUCGCUCCUACCGAUUGAAUGUUCCGGUGAGUUGUCUGGACUGCGCGCCCUUAGUGUUAUGCUUGCGUAAUACGGGGCUUGUGAUUACUUGCUUGCUUGUAGUCACUGUGCGGGAAGUUCCGCGAGCCUUGACAUUUAGAGGAAGGAGAAGUCGUAACAAGGU